AGAAUAUUUCAUACGGUUGACUUGUAUUUUUAAACAAAAUCAUCGUUUAAAAUAUUCAUU
RNAcentral lists this microRNA precursor (60 nucleotides) under Parasteatoda tepidariorum (common house spider). RNAcentral's name for it is "microRNA pte-mir-35z precursor". Its record names the gene pte-mir-35z. Lineage: Eukaryota; Metazoa; Arthropoda; Arachnida; Araneae; Theridiidae. The record is from miRBase by way of RNAcentral.